Molecule: long non-coding RNA, 220 nt
Filed under: Nicotiana benthamiana
Lineage: Eukaryota; Viridiplantae; Streptophyta; Magnoliopsida; Solanales; Solanaceae
Description: long non-coding RNA (NBEN_LNC021776)
Source: RNAcentral
UUCUUGGGAUAUUCUUCACAUGGCAAAACUUAUAAAGUAUUUAAUAAAAUAAUUCUAUGUGUAGAAGAAAGUGUACAUGUCAUUUUUUAUGAAACUAAUACUCUUUUUGAGAGACAGAACAUGAAGAUGAAGCCAUUGGAUUGGUAAGACAAUUGACAGAAGCCACAACAUCAGUCAAGGAGGCAUCGAAGGAAGAAAUGAGUGAUGGAACAAGUCCUUU